CUUUUUUCCAUUGGAGCUGAGAUUACUCGGAACUCUAGCAGACAGACAUGUGCUUGCAGCUCUCAGGUAGGUCUGAGCCAGCAUCCCCCAUAUUUCCUGGCUUCCACUGACAGUCCUUGCCUUUAGGUCUCCUGACCCUUUGGGUACAUGACCUCCAGGUCGACCAGGAACCCAUCCUUCUACCAAGGAUGCCUGUUGAAUGAACUCCCCAUGCCUAAACCUUUUCUGAUUCCCAGUCACUUCCCAAACUAGCCCAGACUUCCCAGACUUCAGACUUUGUCCAUAAAAAUCUAGGAGUUCUAAUUUCAGCCUUCUGAUCAGGACCCAGGUGCCCCAUCUCCCCGUCCAAUGUCUUAGUUAGAGAUCCAGCUAUCCUGCCUUCAGACACCAAUACCAGAAGGUCCUAGCAGAUCUCCCCAGCUCCUAGGUAGACCUCAGGAUAUAGUCUAUCUGCUUUCCCAGGCUCAGCUGUCCAUCAGGAGCAAUUCUCUCAUUCCAUUGGCUCUGACCUUCUUGUCAUGAUUUAUAUUGGUUUAUGUUGCCUCCCAGACCCCACCCUUGUUCCCCAGACCUCCUGCUUCCUGGCCCCUCCUCUCUGGGCCCUCAGAGUUGAAUCUCAGACUAGAUUUUGUCUCUCAGGCUCAGGCUUCCCCUGGUCAUUCUCUGGGGCCUCCAUUGCAGAGCCUUUCCCACUUUCCCUCCUUCCUAACCAAAGAAGUCAGUCUGUUGUCUAGAAGCAUAAUGUAUGUGUUAGUUGGGGUUAGGGGAGUUAAGGAGGCAGAGCGCGAGGUGGAGUAGAAAGGUCUGACUCAGGAGCCAUGGAGGCUCCCAUCUGGGAUCCCAACCCCACUUGUAUUUCUGGGGUUUCUGUAGGAGGGAGGGGGAGGGGAGUAAAAGAUGGAAGGGAGCAGUCUUCCUCUUCAGAUCACCUCCCUUUCCAAUUCUGACCCUCCACCAGGAAUCCCUGCAGACUUACCUCUUGUUUAGAAAAAGAGUGGAAAGUUCUUGCUUCCUCUGGGAUGCUUCUCCCUCUCCAGCUUCUUCAGGUGACCUGGGCCUGGCCCGAGCAGGGAUUGGGUCAAAGACAGACACCAAAAGUGAGCUGAAAUGAGAACAGUUUUACUCUCAGAGCCCCGAACAGCAAUCCCCAGUCUAUGAAGUCAAAGACUGUCAGGACUAGGAUGAGGGGAAGCUGGGCUUUUCUAUGCAGAGAUAAAGAUGGGAGGGAUACUCCUGGAGUUCCUGGCCUUUCUCUUGGUUUUUAGAGAGGUUUAUAAUUAAAGGCUCCCAAAGUUUUAUGUGAUCUCUGUUAGUAAGAGUUUUGGCUGUGGGUCCCUCAAGGGUGGGAGCAAUAAGACCCUGAGAUAGAUAAAGAUCAGGGAUCAGAGGGAGAAUCUUGACAAAAUGCAGUCAAUUUGGUUGCUUUGCUACCUCCACAGGGAUCUAGGAGCCUGAGGGAAUGGGCCCUGGGAGCCUUGGACCUCCUCCUCAGGAGGUGGUGACAUUCAAGGAUGUAGCUGUGGAUUUCACCCAGGAGGAAUGGGGGCUCUUGAACCCCUCUCAGAAGGAGUUGUAUAAGGAGGUCAUGGUGGAGAAUGCCCGGAACCUGCUCUCCCUGGGGCUUCCAGUUCCCAGAGAAGAAGUGAUCUCUUAUUUUGAGCAAAGGGAAGCAUGUUGGACGCUGGACAAAGAAGGCCUCAGAAGCUACUCUCCAGGUCGUCCCAAGGCAUCCCCCAUGGUCACUGCCUUUGUUCCAUCCAAAGCUGAGCUAGACACACAAAAGGCCACCCUCGUGUGUCUGAUAAAUGGCUUCUACCCAAGCACUGUAGAUGUGGCUUGGACCAAGAAUGGUUCCCCCGUGACCAAGGGGGUGAUGACCGGCCCCCCAGUCCGCCAGAGUGACAACAAGUAUACAGCCAGCAGUUACCUCUCGCUCUCUACUGACCAGUGGCUUUCUGACAGCACCUACAACUGCAAGGUCACCCAUGAAGGCCAGGUCUUUCAGAAGGAGCUGUCCUCAACCCAGUGCACUUAGAUGCCCACAUGCUUCCUCCCUCACGUCCCACAAUGGACUUCCCCACCUCUUCCCCCUCCUCCCCUACUUUCAAUAAAGAUCUUCUUAUUUCUCAUUCAA
Sarcophilus harrisii (Tasmanian devil) is the source of this 2134-nucleotide non-coding RNA. The record is from the annotation of a RefSeq genome assembly. Lineage: Eukaryota; Metazoa; Chordata; Mammalia; Dasyuromorphia; Dasyuridae.